CAGGCCUAACACAUGCAAGUCGAACGCAUCCGCAAGGGUGAGUGGCAGACGGGUGAGUAACGCGUGGGAACAUGCCCUUUGGUACGGAACAACUUGGGGAAACUCGAGCUAAUACCGUAUACGCCCGAGAGGGGAAAGAUUUAUCGCCGAAGGAUUGGCCCGCGUCCGAUUAGCUAGUUGGUGAGGUAAUGGCUCACCAAGGCGACGAUCGGUAGCUGGUCUGAGAGGAUGGCCAGCCACAUUGGGACUGAGACACGGCCCAAACUCCUACGGGAGGCAGCAGUGGGGAAUAUUGGACAAUGGGCGCAAGCCUGAUCCAGCCAUGCCGCGUGAGUGAUGACGGCCUUAGGGUUGUAAAGCUCUUUUACCUGGGAAGAUAAUGACGGUACCAGGAGAAUAAGCCCCGGCUAACUUCGUGCCAGCAGCCGCGGUAAU
RNAcentral lists this ribosomal RNA (435 nucleotides) under uncultured bacterium. RNAcentral describes it as "bacterial SSU rRNA". It matches the Rfam family "Bacterial small subunit ribosomal RNA", at positions 43 to 524 of the family's 1533-position model. The record is from RNAcentral.